RNAcentral lists this ribosomal RNA (500 nucleotides) under uncultured bacterium. Its description in RNAcentral is "partial 16S ribosomal RNA". It matches the Rfam family "Bacterial small subunit ribosomal RNA", at positions 30 to 523 of the family's 1533-position model. The record is from RNAcentral.
AUUGAACGCUGGCGGAAUGCUUUACACAUGCAAGUCGAACGGCAGCACGGACUUCGGUCUGGUGGCGAGUGGCGAACGGGUGAGUAAUGUAUCGGAACGUGCCCAGUCGUGGGGGAUAACGUAGUGAAAAUUACGCUAAUACCGCAUACGAUCUAUGGAUGAAAGAGGGGGAUCGCAAGACCGAGCUCGAUUGGAGCGGCCGAUAUCAGAUUAGGCGGUUUGUGGGGUAAAGGCCCACCAAGCAAACGAUCUGUAGCUGGUCUGAGAGGACGAACAGCCAAACGGGAACUGAGACACGGUCCAGACUCCUACGGGAGGCAGCAGUGGGGAAUUUUGGACAAUGGGCGAAAGCCUGAUCCAGCCAUUCCGCGUGCAGGAUGAAGGCCCUCGGGUUGUAAACUGCUUUUGUACAGAACGAAAAGGUUUCUACUAAUACUAGGAGCUCAUGACGGUACUGUAAGAAUAAGCACCGGCUAACUACGUGCCAGCCGCCGCCGUAA